UGGUAGUGUUAACUGUUUAGAAUAUAAUGAUGCUUAAAACCCAAAAGGUUGCAAGAUAGUGACUAAUCCCAACUGAGUUGUGAUACCUCUAAAAACAUAAAAUACGAGUUGGUCAUAGAUGGAUGCUUUGGAUCGUUAGAUCCGGAUCCAAUACCUUCUUGUUAAAAUUGUUUAGAGGCGAAAUGUUCAAAUCUUUAUUCUUUUGGAAAGAAGAAAGAAUCACAAAGUUGUUGAGGUUAAUUCACUUAGAUGUUAGUGGCACUUGUCCACAACAUAAUACUACUCAUGUUAUAUGACAUUCACCGAAGAUCACUCUCGGUUGGACUAUAGUUUAUUUUGAAUAAACACAAGUCCGAAUACUUUGCAAAAGGUUUCAAAGAAUUCAAGAAAUGUAAGUUGAUGAGUAAGAAGUCUAAAGUAUUUACUUCCUUAGAUUUGAUCCAAGGAAAGAUAACACUUUAAAACAGUUUCCUUGAUAAUUAUCAAGGAAAGAAGCAUCAGAAGAUAAUGUCUUCUCCAUUAGGAGAAGAACGAACUCGAAUAAGAUUUAGUUCGUUAGAUGUUAUCAAUUACCCAUAUAUAGGAUAUAUACUUCUAAAAACAAUAUGAUUGUCAAUUAGAAGAUCUUCCAAGAUUUUCAUGACUCCAUAAGAUGUAGUUGGAAAGAAAGACAAAUCUCAAGCACGUUAAGAUUUGGGGUUGUGUGCUAAUAAGCAAUAUUUGUUUGACAACAAUCUUGUAGGAUAUCCUUAAAUUAACUUUUGGAUAUCACUUCUAUAAACCAACUAACAAAUGUUGUUUUGUUGGGUAGUUCAUUGUAAUCUUACAAUAUGAUUUGCCUAAGUGCAAAUGAAUGAGAGAUAGAACUCAAAGGAUGGGUUCUUUGAGAGACAAGAUAAUAAUCAACAAAUAUAACAACCUAGUUCCUAUACCAAAAGCUCCAAGGUAGUCGAGAAGGAUUUAUAAACCAUCUCAGUUGAAUGGUUUGAACUUUAUGACUAUGUCAUAGGGUUGCACCUCUUAAUUCAAAAGAAAUAAGAAUGAAAAUCCUUAUGACUACAUUGAGUGUAUAUAUGAUAUAUACUCAAGGAAAUGGUAAAGUACCAUUUGACCCGAAAUAAUGAAACCUUCAUAAGCUAAUUGGUAGCUUAAGGUGACUACAAUCAAAGAGAAUGGUUGACUUUGAAGAAACCAUCUUUGAGAUAGUCUUGGUUUCAAUUAAUUCGAAGAUUGCUAGCUAGAACUAAAUGGUGAUUCAAUGUUUGGACAUAAUAUGGGUUUCCGAAACCAUUAUUAAGAUAGUCUUGAUAAUAUAUGUCUAAAACUAUAAAUCACAAUACAUGUAAGUUGUAGAGAUCCAUCCAUCACGAAUCUUAGCAAGCUAGUGGGAGCUAUAAGCAUCUUAUGAGAAAAGGAUCAAAUCGUUUGAUUUCUCAUAAAGAUGUAAAUGAAUCUUUUGUUUACUAGGUUUACAAAAGAUUAGUGGGAGUUAAUCAUAUUCCUAAAUUUGAAUAUAUAUGAUAUAUUAAUUUUGGAAAUGAAAAAGGAUACUUCUUCGUUAAAGUUAUGACUUUAAAACAUUAUAUGAAGAUAGAAUGUAUAUGGGAGACAUAGUCUAUAUACAUGGGAUGGAAAUCUAUAUUGAUAGAUUUUAGGAUAUAAUUGGAUUAUAUCAAGCCCUAAAUAUAGACAAAAUUUGAUAGGAAGUUUCUCAUAUGAUGAUGAACUUCAAUCAAAAGGACAACUCUAGUGAGACUAAGAAGUUGCUCUUCUCAAAGAGAACGUACUCUUUGACACCCAAAGAAAUAAUGCGUAAAGAGAAUCCUUUAUGCAUACGCAGAAAGGUGAUUUAUGUAUUUCAUAUUGUAUGAAAAACAUUGAUAUGAGUUGUACCUAGAACGGUACAAGACGAUAUCAGUGCAAGCCCAGGAUCAGAACCAUGGCAACUGUCAAGUGAGUCCUUAAGUGUUUAAUAAAUACUAAAGGAUAAAUUCCUCAAAGAUCGAGGAAGAAUUAGAGUAACGUAAUGGAAGCGUAAAUGUAUUAGAUUAUGAAUCUAAUCCAUCAUUGGAUGUUUCUUCAUUAAGAAUGAAGAGAUAAACAGAUAUCUCUUUAUUAUGACUAAAGAGAUAUUUGGAUGGAAACAUUAAAGUAGUGACUUUAGUGUGUUCCAUUAUGAAUGAAAAAUAUAUUGCCAUAUAGAAGUUUACAACAAUGUUGUUUGGAUGGGAAAGUUCAUUUAUGAACUCUCUAUUCGAUUCCAACCAGAAAGUGUCUGACACUAAUGGGGCGAUAGCUCAAGCCAGGGAAUCCAGGUCUCAUCAAGAUCCGAACUCAUAUGAGAGACUGAACCACAUGAUUGAGAAUCAUGUAUAAUGGUGACGUCGUUAUUCUCAAGGUUGCUUCUAUGGAUAACAUAUAGACAUCCAUUGUCUAGGCCUACUACUCAGCCAUUUUUGAAAUGACUACAGAACAGGUAUCAUCACUGAUGACCAAGUUGAUUAGCUCUAGUGCAAGUGGGAGAUUGUUGGAAAUGUGCCCUAAAACCAAUCAUAUGAUGAUACUUUACGGACAUUUCACAUGUUAAACUAAUCUAGUUUAAUAUCAAGGGCAAAGAUUAUUGUUUUAAGCCGUCUCAUAUAAAUGUUAUAUGCUUAAACGAUAUGUCCAAGGAAUAUGUAAUUGGGAGAAUGUAAUUUAAACAAGUUAAAUUAAUGAGACCAUUCUCUUUUGUAUACAUAUCCUAAACGUUCUUGAUCAUAGGAUUGCCAAUUGGGCAUUGACAGUCCGUUAAGAUCAGUACAUGCCAUGUCUUCUCUUAGGGAGAGUAACUAGUCUUGAGUCAUUGGUGUGAUUGACACCAAGACAAACAUGUAGGUGCUCAAUAGAGAAUGAGUUAACUGAACACGAUCAACGAAGAGUUCUCAUAUUCAUGUCACAUGAGAACUCAUGGUUGGGAUAAUGCAAAGUA
This 2971-nucleotide long non-coding RNA is filed under the name Malus domestica (apple). RNAcentral describes it as "long non-coding RNA (MDOM_LNC020781)". The record is from RNAcentral. Lineage: Eukaryota; Viridiplantae; Streptophyta; Magnoliopsida; Rosales; Rosaceae.